CAGUAGCCGCGGGAACACGUAGGGUGCAAGCGUUAAUCGGAAUUACUGGGCGUAAAGCGUGCGCAGGCGGUUUUGUAAGACAGAGGUGAAAUCCCCGGGCUCAACCUGGGAACUGCCUUUGUGACUGCAAGGCUAGAGUACGGCAGAGGGGGAUGGAAUUCCGCGUGUAGCAGUGAAAUGCGUAGAUAUGCGGAGGAACACCGAUGGCGAAGGCAAUCCCCUGGGCCUGUACUGACGCUCAUGCACGAAAGCGUGGGGAGCAAACAGGAUUAGAUACCCCCGUAGUCCCUGUCUCUUAUAC
Molecule: ribosomal RNA, 301 nt
Filed under: uncultured bacterium
Lineage: Bacteria
Description: partial 16S ribosomal RNA
Rfam family: Bacterial small subunit ribosomal RNA
Source: RNAcentral